RNAcentral lists this ribosomal RNA (516 nucleotides) under uncultured bacterium. RNAcentral describes it as "bacterial SSU rRNA". It matches the Rfam family "Bacterial small subunit ribosomal RNA", at positions 8 to 526 of the family's 1533-position model. The record is from RNAcentral.
AGAGUUUGAUCCUGGCUCAGAACGAACGUUGGCGGCGUGGAUUAGGCAUGCAAGUCGAACGAAUCCCACGGGGGGUAACUCCCGUGGGGGAAGUGGCGAAAGGGGCAGUAAGGCGUGGGUAACCUACCCCGGGGAUGGGCAUAGCCGUUCUAACGAGCGGGUAAUUCCCAGCGAUCUGUAAGGGGGGCAUCCCCCGGACAGGAAACGAGUUUCGCCUCGGGAGGGGCUCACGUGGUAUUACCUAGUUGGCGGGGUAACGGCCCACCAAGGGGUAGAUGCCUAGCGGGUGUGAGAGCACGACCCGCGCCACUGGCACUGCGACACUGGCCAGACUCCUACGGGAGGCUGCAGUCGAGGAUCUUCGGCAAUGGGCGCAAGCCUGACCGAGCGACGCCGCGUGCGCGAUGAAGGCCUUCGGGUUGUAAAGCGCUGUCGCGGGGGAGGAAAGCCCGAAAGGGCCUGACCGACCCCGGGAGGAAGCACGGGCUAAGUUCGUGCCAGCCGCCGCGGUAAUAC